AAAUUGAAGAGUUUGAUCAUGGCUCAGAUUGAACGCUGGCGGCAGGCCUAACACAUGCAAGUCGAACGGUAACAGGAAGCAGCUUGCUGCUUUGCUGACGAGUGGCGGACGGGUGAGUAAUGUCUGGGAAACUGCCUGAUGGAGGGGGAUAACUACUGGAAACGGUGGCUAAUACCGCAUAACGUCGCAAGACCAAAGAGGGGGACCUUCGGGCCUCUUGCCAUCAGAUGUGCCCAGAUGGGAUUAGCUUGUUGGUGAGGUAACGGCUCACCAAGGC
This 277-nucleotide ribosomal RNA is filed under the name Salmonella enterica. Its description in RNAcentral is "partial 16S ribosomal RNA". It matches the Rfam family "Bacterial small subunit ribosomal RNA", at positions 1 to 274 of the family's 1533-position model. The record is from RNAcentral. Lineage: Bacteria; Pseudomonadati; Pseudomonadota; Gammaproteobacteria; Enterobacterales; Enterobacteriaceae. RNAcentral also lists the same sequence under 3 other names.